AAUUUAUACGGUGAACUGCGAAUGGCUCAUUAAAUCAGUUAUCGUUUAUUUGAUAGUACCUUACUACAUGGAUACCUGUGGUAAUUCUAGAGCUAAUACAUGCUAAAAACCUCGACUUCGGAAGGGGUGUAUUUAUUAGAUAAAAAACCAAUGCCCUUCGGGGCUCCUUGGUGAAUCAUAAUAACUUAACGAAUCGCAUGGCCUUGCGCCGGCGAUGGUUCAUUCAAAUUUCUGCCCUAUCAACUUUCGAUGGUAGGAUAGUGGCCUACCAUGGUGGCAACGGGUAACGGGGAAUUAGGGUGGUAGGAUAGUGGCCUACCAUGGUGGCAACGGGUAACGGGGAAUUAGGGUUCGAUUCCGGAGAGGGAGCCUGAGAAACGGCUACCACAUCCAAGGAAGGCAGCAGGCGCGCAAAUUACCCAAUCCCGACACGGGGAGGUAGUGACAAUAAAUACUGAUACGGGGCUCUUUUGGGUCUCGUAAUUGGAAUGAGUACAAUCUAAAUCCCUUAACGAGGAACAAUUGGAGGGCAAGUCUGGUGCCAGCAGCCGCGGUAAUUCCAGCUCCAAUAGCGUAUAUUAAAGUUGUUGCAGUUAAAAAGCUCGUAGUUGAACCUUGGGUCUGGCUGGCCGGUCCGCCUCACCGCGAGUACUGGUCCGGCUGGACCUUUCCUUCUGGGGAACCUCAUGGCCUUCACUGGCUGUGGGGGGAACCAGGACUUUUACUGUGAAAAAAUUAGAGUGUUCAAAGCAGGCCUUUGCUCGAAUACAUUAGCAUGGAAUAAUAGAAUAGGACGUGCGGUUCUAUUUUGUUGGUUUCUAGGACCGCCGUAAUGAUUAAUAGGGAUAGUCGGGGGCGUCAGUAUUCAGCUGUCAGAGGUGAAAUUCUUGGAUUUGCUGAAGACUAACUACUGCGAAAGCAUUCGCCAAGGAUGUUUUCAUUAAUCAGGGAACGAAAGUUAGGGGAUCGAAGACGAUCAGAUACCGUCGUAGUCUUAACCAUAAACUAUGCCGACUAGGGAUCGGGCGGUGUUUCUAUGAUGACCCGCUCGGCACCUUACGAGAAAUCAAAGUUUUUGGGUUCUGGGGGGAGUAUGGUCGCAAGGCUGAAACUUAAAGAAAUUGACGGAAGGGCACCACAAGGCGUGGAGCCUGCGGCUUAAUUUGACUCAACACGGGGAAACUCACCAGGUCCAGACAAAAUAAGGAUUGACAGAUUGAGAGCUCUUUCUUGAUCUUUUGGAUGGUGGUGCAUGGCCGUUCUUAGUUGGUGGAGUGAUUUGUCUGCUUAAUUGCGAUAACGAACGAGACCUCGGCCCUUAAAUAGCCCGGUCCGCAUUUGCGGGCCGCUGGCUCUUAGGGGACUAUCGCUCA
This 1373-nucleotide ribosomal RNA is filed under the name Aspergillus fumigatus. RNAcentral describes it as "SSU rRNA". It matches the Rfam family "Eukaryotic small subunit ribosomal RNA", at positions 71 to 1429 of the family's 1831-position model. Lineage: Eukaryota; Fungi; Ascomycota; Eurotiomycetes; Eurotiales; Aspergillaceae. The record is from RNAcentral.